AACUAACGCUGGCGGCGUGCCUAACACAUGCAAGUCGUACGAGAAAGUUGGCUUCGGCUGAUGAGUAAAGUGGCGCACGGGUGAGUAACGCGUGGAUAAUCUACCUUUUAGUUGGGAAUAACGUACCGAAAGGUGCGCUAAUACCGGAUAAUACUGAGUGACUACUGUUGCUUAGUCAAAGAAGGCCUCUGUUUACAAGCUUUUGUCUGAAAGAUGAGUCCGCGUACCAUUAGCUAGUUGGUAGGGUAAUGGCCUACCAAGGCUACGAUGGUUAGCUGGUCUGAGAGGAUGAUCAGCCACACUGGAACUGAGACACGGUCCAGACUCCUACGGGAGGCAGCAGUGAGGAAUAUUGCGCAAUGGGGGCAACCCUGACGCAGCAACGCCGCGUGAGUGAGGAAGGUUUUCGGAUCGUAAAGCUCUGUCGAGUGGGAAGAAAUGUAUCAUGGCUAAUAUCCAUGGUACUUGACGGUACCGCUAAAGGAAGCACCGG
RNAcentral lists this ribosomal RNA (493 nucleotides) under uncultured bacterium. Its description in RNAcentral is "bacterial SSU rRNA". It matches the Rfam family "Bacterial small subunit ribosomal RNA", at positions 29 to 496 of the family's 1533-position model. The record is from RNAcentral.